CCUACGGGAGGCAGCAGUGAGGAAUAUUGGUCAAUGGCCGGAAGGCUGAACCAGCCAUGCCGCGUGAAGGUCAGUGCCCUAUGGGCGUUAAACUUCUUUUGUGCGGGAGCAAUAAUGGUCACGUGUGGCCAGACGAGAGUACCGUACGAAUAAGCAUCGGCUAAAUCCGUGCCAGCAGCCGCGGUAAUACGGGGGAUGCAAGCGUUAUCCGGGUUUAUUGGGUUUAAAGGGUGCGUAGGCUGGGAGGUAAGUCAGCGGUGAAAUGCCCCCGCUCAACGGGGUGAAGUGCCAUUGAUACUGCCUGGCUGGAAUGCGGAUGCCGUGGGAGGAAUGUGUGGUGUAGCGGUGAAAUGCAUAGAUAUCACACAGAACACCGAUUGCGAAGGCAUCUCACGAAUCCGCGAUUGACGCUGAUGCACGAAAGCGUGGGUAUCAAACAGGAUUAGAUACCCUUGUAGUC
Molecule: ribosomal RNA, 460 nt
Filed under: uncultured bacterium
Lineage: Bacteria
Description: partial 16S ribosomal RNA
Rfam family: Bacterial small subunit ribosomal RNA
Source: RNAcentral